UCUGUACAAAAGCCAUUCUGUCUGUCCCUGUCCCUCUGUUUGCCUUUGUCGUCUGCUGAUACCCCAUCAUCACACAGGCAUGUCAGACGCAGAAGAAGAAUACGAGGAUCAGACAGUGGAGGUUGAGGAGGAGC
This is a long non-coding RNA of Pundamilia nyererei, 134 nucleotides long. RefSeq lists it as uncharacterized. NCBI's taxonomy places the organism in Eukaryota, Metazoa, Chordata, Actinopteri, Cichliformes, Cichlidae. The transcript is spliced from 4 exons. The record is from RefSeq and is a predicted model, not a curated record.